Molecule: ribosomal RNA, 437 nt
Filed under: uncultured Oscillibacter sp.
Lineage: Bacteria; Bacillati; Bacillota; Clostridia; Eubacteriales; Oscillospiraceae
Description: partial 16S ribosomal RNA
Rfam family: Bacterial small subunit ribosomal RNA
Source: RNAcentral
ACGGGAGGCAGCAGUGGGGAAUAUUGGGCAAUGGGGGAAACCCUGACCCAGCAACGCCGCGUGAAGGAAGAAGGCCUUCGGGUUGUAAACUUCUUUUACCAGGGACGAACGAAAUGACGGUACCUGGAGAAAAAGCAACGGCUAACUACGUGCCAGCAGCCGCGGUAAUACGUAGGUUGCAAGCGUUGUCCGGAUUUACUGGGUGUAAAGGGCGUGUAGGCGGAGCUGCAAGUCAGAUGUGAAAUCCCGGGGCUCAACCCCGGAACUGCAUUUGAAACUGUAGCCCUUGAGUAUCGGAGAGGCAAGCGGAAUUCCUAGUGUAGCGGUGAAAUGCGUAGAUAUUACUCAGAACACCGAUUGCGAAGGCAUCUCACGAAUCCGUCAUUGACGCUGAGGCACGAAAGCGUGGGGAUCAAACAGGAUUAGAUACCCUGGUA